RNAcentral lists this small nuclear RNA (283 nucleotides) under Jaculus jaculus (lesser Egyptian jerboa). RNAcentral describes it as "7SK RNA (ENSJJAG00000001234.1)". It matches the Rfam family "7SK RNA", at positions 1 to 282 of the family's 331-position model. Rfam says of the family: 7SK was discovered as an abundant small nuclear RNA in the mid-70s but a possible function has only recently been suggested. The record is from RNAcentral. Lineage: Eukaryota; Metazoa; Chordata; Mammalia; Rodentia; Dipodidae.
GGAUGUGAGGGGCGAUCUGGCUGUAACACCUGUCACCCCAUUGAUCGCCAGGGUUGAUUUGGUUGAUCUGGCUGGCUAGGCGGGUGUCCCCUUCCUCCCUCACCACUCCAUGUGCAUCUCUCCGGAAGGGGAUGACCUUCCCCGAACAGAGGAGGACGGGUCUUUGGUCAAGGGUAUACGAGUAGCUGUGCUCCCCUGCUAGAACCUCCAAAUGAGCUCUCAAAUAUUGGAAAUAAAGGUUUGUACCACCAAACCCAGUAGAGAGAAAGACAGAGAGAGAGAU